This 1359-nucleotide ribosomal RNA is filed under the name Triticum aestivum (bread wheat). RNAcentral's name for it is "partial small subunit ribosomal RNA". Lineage: Eukaryota; Viridiplantae; Streptophyta; Magnoliopsida; Poales; Poaceae. The record is from RNAcentral.
AUGUCGCCGCCGGCACCGGCGCUGCUGGACGAGCUCCUCGAGGAGAUCUUCCUCCGCCUUCCGCCGGACGAGCCAGAGCACCUCGUGCGCGCCUCCCUCUCCAGCAAGCGCUGGCUCGGCCUCCUCUCCGGCGCUCGAUUCCGCGGCCGCUACCGUGAGCUGCAUGGAGCUCCCCCCAUGCUGGGCUUCCUUUAUUUCUUCCACUCCAACUCCCGCCCGGAGACGGAAGAUAACAUCCCACACUUUCUCCCCACCACCAAAUUUCGUGCGUGCAUCCCCGACGACGACUGGUUGGGCUACAGUGCGUUGGACUGCCGUCAUGGCCGCGUUCUCAUUGGCGAAGUGGCCUAUACACCAAUGACGCUCGUCGUUUGGGACCCCAUGACGGGCUGCCGGAGGGAGCUGGAGGCGCCCCCCCUGGUAGACAACACCUAUGGGGCCGCGGUGGUCUGCGCCGUGGCCGGCUGUGACCACCACACUUGUCACGCAGGCCCCUUCCAGGUCGUCUUUGUCGGCCUGGACCAUUGUCAUGAAGAUGAGUGUGUUGCACGGGCGUGCGUGUCCUUGCCGGUGACGAGUAACCACAGCAAGCCGGGCCUUCAAUCUCCUUUUGAUAAGUGGAGCAAGCCGUGCUCUGCUCUUCAUCUUGACUCCGAUUUGUACAUCUACGAAGCGCCCCCUGUCUUCGUCCAAGACGCACUUCAUUUCAAGCUUUGUAACUGUGCCGAACAUCGCGUAGUAGGAAUUCUCAAGUACGACAUGAGCACUAAUAGCUUAUCACUGAUUGAUAUGCCCCUUGCGUGGUCUGUCAAUGCCAAUGCUUCUAUCCUCAUGGCGAUGGAGGAUGACAGUUUGGGGUUUGCACAUGUCUACGGCUUAAUCCUCAAUCUGUGGUCAAGGCACAUGGGUUCUGACGGAGUUGCGUCAUGGACUCAGCGUACAGUCAUCAAUAUCAAGGACAUUCUUCCCAUUCGAAAUCCAAAUAAAGGACUUAGGCUGAUUGGAUCUGUGGAAGGCACCGAUAUCAUUUUCGUGACCACGGAUCUUGGCAUCUACAAGAUUAAUCUCAAGUCACUACAGUGGAAGAGGGAAUGGGAGAGAAAAAAGUUUCGAGCUUUCAUCCCGUACAUGAGUUUCCACAAUCCACAAGGUUUGCGGAAUGGUGGCGAUAAGAAGAAUCUGCUGGAGGGAUCGUCAGCGGAGAUGCGAGCUCAUGAUGCAGCGUCUGUGGCGCCGAUUGGUCAGCUGCCGAGAAUUACUCAGGCUGGGGAAGAUGAUCUUGAAUCUGAAUCGUACGAAGAUCCUGAAUCUGAAUCUGAAUCUGAAGAAGAUCUUGAAUCUGAAUCGGAAGAAGACUGA